This is a non-coding RNA of Araneus ventricosus, 73 nucleotides long. Lineage: Eukaryota; Metazoa; Arthropoda; Arachnida; Araneae; Araneidae. The record is from the annotation of a GenBank genome assembly.
CCUCCAUGACAAGGUUCGGACCUUCAACCGUGCGAUUUGAAACUGGGCGCCUUAUCCAUUAGGCUACACGGAU